GCAGGGUCAAAGGUCAGGCUUUGCUCCAUUUCAUGAACAGGACUCAGAUGAAUGGAUCCAGUUCAAGUCUUUCAGAGACCAGUCAGACGGAGGAACUGAAUCCACUGACCUUCUUUCCAUAAACAGCUCCCAUUCUUCCAGCGCUCUGCUCGCUCCUCUUCACGUCCGAACCAGAACCAGAACCUUCACAGCAGAUCCAGUCUGGGUCUGUCAGUCCAGCACAGUCAGGGGGAGCCGGGUCAUACCAACAGAACCGAAGAGGUCCGGAGGAGGAGGAGGAGGUGUCCCUGCCACCUGCUCCCACAUGACUCUGUGCUCUCAGCUGUGAGGAGUUAAGAUCUUCAGACCAGAUUAAAGUAAUCAGAGGAGACAAGGAGCCAGAGACCAGUAAAGUCUGGACCUGGACUCUUCUGCACUACCUGACAAACACCUGAACUCUGGUCCACCUCAGACCAGACAGGACCUGAUCCACUUCAGUCCUGCUGUAAACCCAGUCCUCCGGACAGAACCCUUCAUCUGCAGGAUCCGGGUCACUUCCUGUCGUCAGGUGUGUACCUGUGACAGCCUGCUGGGUCACUUCCUGUCGUCAGGUGUGUACCUGUGACAGCCUGCUGGGUCACUUCCUGUCGUCAGGUGUGAAAAUAACUCAACACAACAUGCAGGUUUUACAUCGACUUUUAUACAAUAAAUAAAAUCUGUUUUUAAAUCAAACCUGCGGACAUGAAGUCACACAUGAUGAGGUCAUACAUGAUGAAAUCACACAUGAUGAGGUCAUACAUGAUUAAAUCACACAUGAUGAGGUCACACAUGAUGAGGUCACACAUGAACAUUUUGUUUGUUUUCAGACAGGAAGUAGUUUUUUUCCAGACAGGAAGUAGCAGAGGUUUGCAGGAUUUAAUCUGCGUUAACACGGACGUCCCGCUGGCAGACUCUGCUCCGCCCACUUCUCUACUGCUCUGCAGUGGGUGGAGCCUCUGCCUCCUCCUGG
Long non-coding RNA from Austrofundulus limnaeus, 988 nucleotides. RefSeq lists it as uncharacterized. The record is from RefSeq and is a predicted model, not a curated record. NCBI's taxonomy places the organism in Eukaryota, Metazoa, Chordata, Actinopteri, Cyprinodontiformes, Rivulidae. The transcript has 2 exons.